GUCAAGGUCUGUCUUGACGGGGUUUUCCUGUAGCCGCUCAUCACUGGAAACGCCUCAGAGUGGCAUGUGGUCUGCCUUGCUCACAGGACUGUUAGGUCCGAGGGGAGGAGCUAUGUUGCAGAG
RNAcentral lists this small nucleolar RNA (123 nucleotides) under Tupaia belangeri (northern tree shrew). The record is from RNAcentral. Lineage: Eukaryota; Metazoa; Chordata; Mammalia; Scandentia; Tupaiidae.